AUGAAACAGAUGGUCAUAGAAUUGGUUCAGUGGUUGUGAGUGCAGCAACCCAAGAGUGUCUUAUCUGAAAUACCACCAGGAAUGCCUGGACACAGUAGACAAAGGUUGUUCAACUGGACGCCUUAGGAUACAUGCUUCCAAAAACAAAGUAGCUGAAAAGAAACUAGAAUAACAGGAUAUCAGAGCCAGAGGAGCAUUUGGAGAAGUACGGGAAGGAUGAAAUUACUUUUGAUGGAGAGAGCAUUUAGUGUCUCAGAGAGAAGACAGGACAUCAUUCAUCACUUUCAUGAUGGGGCCGGCAGAUACCACCAUGGUGACGUUUGUGGCAGAAGAGGUGGAGCCAGGGACUGGGGAGAAGAAACGCAAACACAUGAUGGGUUAAAAACUGGUGAAAUCGAAUAGGUUUAAUCAGGACUGAGGAAGAACAUGGCAAGAUAAGUUUAUGGUCAGGGUUGGUUGGUGAUCCUCAGUGUUGCUGCGCAGUAGAAGGUGAGUUUGAGGUGAGAGGAACAAGUAGGAAAGAGUGAUCCCCUGAACCACCUCCUCACUUUCUUAGCUUUCAACCCCACCUAGGUUUUGUGAGCCUGGAACUUGGGAGACUGUUCGGUAGCCCAGGUCUCCUAAGAGUGGGUGCAGUGGCUGUGACCCUGGGCUGCUCAGCAUUCAUGUGGAAAUGAAGGAAGGAGGACUGGAUCAAUCCCAUUUGAAAGCAUCCUUCUCUGCAGCCCACACAAUCCUCCAAUGACACUGACAGAGGUGUACCCUCCUAGUGUACUGGGACCAAAAUUCGGAAGUGUCUGCAAACUUGCUUUAACCGUAUGGGAAAUAACCUCUAUCACCUGGAAUUUCCUUGGGACUUUGGAAAAUACAAGAGAAGUAUGAGACUUGGGUCUUCCCUUGGCUGUGUUUAAUUCACUCUUCUAUGGAAUACCAAUGAUUCUCACUAAGACUUUUGCCUUUUUAUAACCACAAUGUAUGCUUUAUGGAGAAGAUUUUACUCUUUGCUCUACUUAGAAAGAAUAAAUAUGAGCAAUGCUUUA
Molecule: long non-coding RNA, 1040 nt
Filed under: Homo sapiens (human)
Lineage: Eukaryota; Metazoa; Chordata; Mammalia; Primates; Hominidae
Description: HSALNT0295036
Source: RNAcentral